CUGAACUUCAGCUUGAGCUUGACUUCCAGAAGGCAUGUAUUGCUGGGAGCCGAAUCCAAAAUAUUGGGUCGGGGUAACACCAGAUCCUUGAAAUCGAACCCGACCGUACCUUUCAGGACCCAAAACUUCAGUGAUAAUUCUGUUAUCAAUGUUCUCAAGAUUAACAGAACUAUCACUCGAAGCAAUCGCUUCAUAUUCUGCCUUCUUCUCCUUUAGUUUCUCCAAAAAAAUCAAUUAAAGAGUUAGAAACGAAAUAUAUAGUAAAAAGGAAUGCAACAUAACUUAACAUUAUUUAAAACUACUAAUGAUGAAUUGAAUUAAAAAAUUAUAAUUAAAGAUUAUAAAUAUUUAGAAUAAAUCAAAUAUUAUUAAGUAAAUAUACCAUAAUUUCUCCAGCUUCG
This 401-nucleotide long non-coding RNA is filed under the name Gossypium barbadense (sea-island cotton). Its description in RNAcentral is "long non-coding RNA (GBAR_LNC010793)". Lineage: Eukaryota; Viridiplantae; Streptophyta; Magnoliopsida; Malvales; Malvaceae. The record is from RNAcentral.